UUGCCCUAAGGAACAAAAUAACAACCAUUAACAAAUAACAACAUUACUCAUCAGUUAUUCAAUUCUACAAAUAUGUAUGUUGUAUGAACUGCCUGCAUAUACGAGCAAGUCCCAUCCCUCUGUAUAAGGGGAGAUCAAGUGUUUGGGCAGAUAUUUAUAAUAAAAGGACGUGGUCUCUGCAAAAUGCUGGGCUCCUGCGUCCGUUGCCGGCUCUGUGCGGAGGGCCCCUGGCUAAGCUUUACGGAGCUACUCGGGAAAAGGAUUUUCGUGGCUCCCUGAUUUUGGCAAGAAGAGAACAGCUUCUGAGAUGAAUCUAAACUGAGAAAGUUUCUUCCAAUGCACAGAUGUCAUUGAUCUACUUAUAUUUCCUGUGAUAAAAUAUUGAAUGUCUCCUCCUCGAUGCCAGCGCCUAGAGUCUGAUUCUUGAACCACGGCCUGCCUAGCACCCAACUGUGAACCUAAGUUCAUCAUCCUUUUAAGCACAUUAUCUAAUUAGAGGCCAGAGAAAAACCCAAAGUGGCUGUUCCAAACCAGUUUGACCGGCCUUCUCUCUGCACUGUGGUUUAGCCACAGUGACAAAUAUUAGCCUUUUUCCAGCUAAGCUUCACGGAGUCGCAGGUAUCUGGACAAUUUAAGCCAAAUACUUAGGCUGAAUUAUACAACCCGGAUUUUGUAGCUUCGGUCCAAACUCUACUAAGAAAGCUCAGAGUCCAUUACUUUGCAGAUAUUUUUUAGGGAUUUUUCUUUUUGGUCUGAGUAAAUGCACAUUUCUGUACACAGGGAAACAUUUCCUCAUCGCUCCUCCUCUUUUCUAUCUCAAUGAAAAAUUAAAGUGAUUAGCUUAAAAAUCUGUUAAUUAGUUUUGCAUGAAACAUUGCUUUAGCCAUAUUUGUAUAUAAUUUGUGUAUAUAAUCUAUACAUGUUUGCAGUGACUUACACUAAUUACUAUGCCUUGUUUUUUUGAAAUUAGGGAAUCAAUAAUAAAAAAUAAAAGCGUGCACGUAGUGCUAUCUUG
RNAcentral lists this long non-coding RNA (1015 nucleotides) under Vulpes vulpes (red fox). RNAcentral describes it as "lncRNA (ENSVVUG00000021530.1)". The record is from RNAcentral. Lineage: Eukaryota; Metazoa; Chordata; Mammalia; Carnivora; Canidae.